CCUUUGCACUUAAUAAAAGGAUGUCAUCUGUCUUUUCUGUGCUACUUUUCAGGCUGAGGCAAGGUGAAUAUACCUGGACAGUAGAAAAGGUCUUCUAACACAGGAGCCACUAGAAACAGUGGGGAGCAGGAUGCAGACACUGAGCUGAAUGACUCGAGCUCAGAUUUGCCUGAAUGAGCAUUUGAGGUUCCAAUUAAAUCCUUGUUUCGGCCAUUGCAUUGCCUGCCAGUAGUUAAUCUUUCUCGAAAGCCUCAUCACUUAUCUAAAACAAAAGAAGAACGAGGAGAAGCAGCUCCAUGUUCUGCAUACCAGAACUCUCUUGUUGGCUCCAUGUAGCAGCAGAAGGAGGAGAAUCUGGUCCUGAUUCCCUGUGAG
RNAcentral lists this long non-coding RNA (375 nucleotides) under Parus major (Great Tit). Its description in RNAcentral is "lncRNA (ENSPMJG00000011396.1)". Lineage: Eukaryota; Metazoa; Chordata; Aves; Passeriformes; Paridae. The record is from RNAcentral.